GUCCAGAGAUGGGAAUCGAACCCACAGUGUUCUGCUUACCGGGCAGAUGCCAUGUCCACUAGGCUACCCUGGA
RNAcentral lists this transfer RNA (73 nucleotides) under Cordylochernes scorpioides. RNAcentral's name for it is "tRNA-Thr". Lineage: Eukaryota; Metazoa; Arthropoda; Arachnida; Pseudoscorpiones; Chernetidae. The record is from RNAcentral.